AAUCAGCUUUGAUCGUAGCAAUCAACUGACCCUUCGCAAAACAACCGUCCCUCCUUAAAUACUGUUGCUAUGUCUGACACGCCAUGCUGCUCACACAGUACACACCUUGUUCUCACACAGCAAAAAAUACAUCGUGGACCAAAGAGGAAACUGACAACACACUGACAGAGGAAUACAGAGAAGGUCACUUCUGUCUUCUCCCACAGAUCCAUCAGAGUCCUCAUCUUCUGUGUCUGAAUUGAACAGCUGGGCAACAGCUUUUGAACAGCUUUCUUCAUCAAACAUGCAGGGUUCCCUCUCAUCGUGGUUGAUCGCUGCCAGCGUACGUAGUGUACGUAUUACGUCCCUGUGUCAGCGGGAAAUGGUCCAACAGUCAGCCUUGCGUGUGGAGACUUCAGAAGAUGCCAGACCUCACAAAGAUUUCAGAUGAUGGAAACUAUAGAUGAACAUGCAAAGCUGCUAAAUAAUCCUUAUAUUGUAAUCAUUGCCCUAAAAGGGAGGAACUCUCAGCAAAUCUACUUCACAGCACAUCAGUGAAAGCAGUUAACAGUUACAGACGUGUGUGUUGGAUCAGGGUCAGAUCUGAAUUCUGCAGGUAGGUAGAUCUC
Long non-coding RNA from Carassius auratus (goldfish), 608 nucleotides. RefSeq lists it as uncharacterized. The record is from RefSeq and is a predicted model, not a curated record. The transcript is spliced from 4 exons. Lineage: Eukaryota; Metazoa; Chordata; Actinopteri; Cypriniformes; Cyprinidae.